CGGGGUGUGGCCCAGCUGGUAGGGCACUUGACUGGGGGUCAAGGGGUCGUCGGUUCGAGUCCGGCCACCCCGA
This 73-nucleotide transfer RNA is filed under the name Elusimicrobiota bacterium. RNAcentral's name for it is "tRNA-Pro". It matches the Rfam family "tRNA". From Rfam's summary of the family: Transfer RNA (tRNA) molecules are approximately 80 nucleotides in length. Their secondary structure includes four short double-helical elements and three loops (D, anti-codon, and T loops). Lineage: Bacteria; Pseudomonadati; Elusimicrobiota. The record is from RNAcentral.